RNAcentral lists this ribosomal RNA (253 nucleotides) under uncultured bacterium. RNAcentral's name for it is "partial 16S ribosomal RNA". It matches the Rfam family "Bacterial small subunit ribosomal RNA", at positions 524 to 776 of the family's 1533-position model. The record is from RNAcentral.
UACGUAGGAUGCAAGCGUUGUUCGGAAUUACUGGGCGUAAAGAGUACGUAGGCGGUAAUAUAAGUUUAAUAUUAAAGACCGAAGCUUAACUUCGGGAAUGUAUUGAAAACUGUAUUGCUAGAGGUUAAUAGAGGAAGUCGGAAUUCUCAGUGUAGCGGUGAAAUGCGUAGAUAUUGGGAAGAACACCAGUGGCGAAAGCGGACUUCUGGGUUAAUACUGACGCUGAGGUACGAAAGUGUGGGGAGCAAACGGG